RNAcentral lists this microRNA precursor (107 nucleotides) under Canis lupus familiaris (dog). Its description in RNAcentral is "mir-8834 microRNA precursor family". It matches the Rfam family "mir-8834 microRNA precursor family". Lineage: Eukaryota; Metazoa; Chordata; Mammalia; Carnivora; Canidae. The record is from Rfam by way of RNAcentral.
AGGAGAAACAACCAGAGUGGCUGCAGCCAGCUCUGGAGCCCUGGAUUCACCUCCCGCAGUAACUACAGAGCUCUCUGUCCGCAGGGGCCUGGAGGCUUUGGGGCGGG